CAUUAGCUAGAUGGUAAGGUAACGGCUUACCAUGGCUACGAUGUCUAGGGGUUCUGAGAGGAAGGUCCCCCACACUGGAACUGAGACACGGUCCAGACUCCUACGGGAGGCAGCAGUGAGGAAUAUUGGACAAUGGAUGGAAAUCUGAUCCAGCCAUGCCGCGUGCAGGAAGACGGCCCUAUGGGUUGUAAACUGCUUUUGUAUGGGAGCAAUAAGGGCUACGUGUAGUCCGAUGAGAGUACCAUACGAAUAAGCACCGGCUAACUCCGUGCCAGCAGCCGCGGUAAUACGGAGGGUGCAAGCGUUAUCCGGAUUUAUUGGGUUUAAAGGGUGCGUAGGCGGUUUGAUAAGUCAGCGGUGAAAUAUUUCAGCUUAACUGGAAGGGUGCCGUUGAUACUGUCGAGCUUGAAUUUAGUUGCUGUGGGUGGAAUGUGUGGUGUAGCGGUGAAAUGCAUAGAUAUCACACAGAAUAUCGAUUGCGAAGGCAGCUCACAAAGCUAAUAUUGACGCUGAUGCACGAAAGUGUGGGGAUCAAACAGGAUUAGAUACCCCGGUAGUCCACACUGUAAACGAUGAUAACUCGCUGUCGGCGAUACACAGUCGGUGGCCAAGCGAAAGCGAUAAGUUAUCCACCUGGGGAGUACGACCGCAAGGUUGAAACUCAAAGGAAUUUGACGGGGGCCCGCACAAGCGGAGGAACAUGUGGUUUAAUUCGAUGAUACGCGAGGAACCUUACCCGGGCUCGAACGGUGCAUGAAUAGAUCAGAGAUGGUUUAGUCCUUCGGGGCAUGUAUCGAGGGUGCU
Molecule: ribosomal RNA, 804 nt
Filed under: uncultured bacterium
Lineage: Bacteria
Description: bacterial SSU rRNA
Rfam family: Bacterial small subunit ribosomal RNA
Source: RNAcentral